CCCCAGACUCCUACGGGAGGCAGCAGUGGGGAAUAUUGGACAAUGGGGGAAACCCUGAUGCAGCGACGCCGCGUGAGUGAAGAAGUAUUUCGGUAUGUAAAGCUCUAUCAGCAGGGAAGAAAAUGACGGUACCUGAUUAAGAAGCCCCGGCUAACUACGUGCCAGCAGCCGCGGUAAUACGUAGGGGGCAAGCGUUAUCCGGAUUUACUGGGUGUAAAGGGGGCGCAGACGGCGAUGCAAGCCAGGAGUGAAAGCCCGGGGCCCAACCCCGGGACUGCUCUUGGAACUGCGUGGCUGGAGUGCAGGAGGGGCAGGCGGAAUUCCUGGUGUAGCGGUGAAAUGCGUAGAUAUCAGGAGGAACACCGGUGGCGAAGGCGGCCUGCUGGACUGCAACUGACGUUGAGGCCCGAAAGCGUGGGGAGCAAACAGGAUUAGAUACCCCAGUAUU
This 448-nucleotide ribosomal RNA is filed under the name uncultured bacterium. RNAcentral's name for it is "bacterial SSU rRNA". It matches the Rfam family "Bacterial small subunit ribosomal RNA", at positions 329 to 794 of the family's 1533-position model. The record is from RNAcentral.